This 438-nucleotide ribosomal RNA is filed under the name uncultured bacterium. RNAcentral describes it as "partial 16S ribosomal RNA". It matches the Rfam family "Bacterial small subunit ribosomal RNA", at positions 29 to 507 of the family's 1533-position model. The record is from RNAcentral.
AACGAACGCUGGCGGCAUGCCUAACACAUGCAAGUCGAACGAGACCUUCGGGUCUAGUGGCGCACGGGUGCGUAACGCGUGGGAACCUGCCCUUAGGUUCGGAAUAACUCCCCGAAAGGGGUGCUAAUACCGGAUAAUGUCUUCGGACCAAAGAUUUAUCGCCUUUGGAUGGGCCCGCGUUGGAUUAGCUAGUUGGUAGGGUAAAAGCCUACCAAGGCGACGAUCCAUAGCUGGUCUGAGAGGAUGAUCAGCCACACUGGGACUGAGACACGGCCCAGACUCGAACAGGAGGCAACAGUGGGGAGGGUUGCAUAAUGAGCGGAGCCCAAACGCAGCCACGCCGCGGGCGGGAAGAGGGCCUGCCGGUUGGGUACCACUGUCCUCUUACCCGAAGCGUUAGUGACGGUAAUGGGAAAAGAAGCACCGGCUAACUACGUG